AUGGGGAACUCCAGCAGCAGCAGCGCCGGCGGCAGCAGGCCCCACCGGCCGACGACCUCGUCGGAGUCGGGGCUGCCGCACGCCGCCGCGGCGGAGGAGCUCAGCUCGUACGAGGCGGCGUGCCGGCACGACCCGGAGGUGCGCACCUUCGACUCCACGCUGCAGCGCCGCACCAGCCGCGCCAUCUCCACGCUGGCGGUGGGGGUCGAGGUGCGCUCCAUGUCGCUCGACUCCCUCCGCGAGGUCACCGGCUGCCUCCUGGACAUGAACCAGGAGGUGGUCAAGGUCAUCCUCGACUGCAAGAAGGACAUCUGGAAGAGCCCCGAGCUGUUCGACCUCGUGGAGGACUACUUCGAGAGCAGCCUCCACACCCUCGACUUCUGCACCGCGCUCGACAAGUGCCUCAAGCGCGCCCGCGACUCGCAGCUCCUCCUCCACGUCGCGCUCCAGCGCUUCGACGACGAGGACGACAACGCCGCCGCCGCCGCCGCGCCCGCCGCCCGGUACGCGCGCACGCUGCACGAGCUGCGCCAGUUCAAGGCGGCCGGGGACCCCUUCACCGACGAGUUCUUCGAGGCCUUCCAGGCCGUGUACCGGCAGCAGCUGGCCAUGCUGGAGAAGCUGCAGCAGCGCAAGCACCGGCUGGACAAGAAGAUCAAGACCAUCAAGGCGUGGCGCCGGGUGUCGAGCGUCAUAUUCGCGAGCACCUUCGCGGCGGUGCUCAUCUGCUCGGUGGUCGCCGCGGCCAUCGCCGCGCCGCCCGUCGCAGCGGCAUUGGCCGCGGCGGCUGCGAUUCCGAUAGGGUCCAUGGGGAAGUGGAUCGACUCGCUGCUCAAAGGGUACCAGGACGCCGUCCGUGGGCAGAAGGAGGUGGUGAGCGCAAUGCAGGUCGGCACGUUCAUCGCCAUCAAGGAUCUGGACAACAUCAGGGUGCUCAUCAACCGGGUGGAGAUGGAGAUCGGCUCAAUGAUCGACUGCGUGGAUUUCGCGGAGCGGGACGAGGAGGCGGUCAAGUUCGGGGUGGAGGAGAUCAAGAAGAAGCUGGAGGCCUUCAUGAAGAGCGUCGAGGACCUCGGGGAGCAGGCUGACCGGUGUAGCCGAGACAUCCGCCGAGCAAGGACCGUCGUGCUGCAAAGGAUCAUCCGGCAUCCCAACUGA
This 1158-nucleotide ribosomal RNA is filed under the name Triticum aestivum (bread wheat). Its description in RNAcentral is "partial small subunit ribosomal RNA". Lineage: Eukaryota; Viridiplantae; Streptophyta; Magnoliopsida; Poales; Poaceae. The record is from RNAcentral.